GCGGUUUCGGGGAAGAGACCGGGGUUGAGCGUCUAGCCUAGCUCAGCGUGAUUUCCGCCAGCGUUUAGAGCGUUUUCGGGGUCCGAGUUGAAGAGCAAAACCAAGUGAAGGAAACUUCACUAAGUUCAGGGUGACAAGGGAGGAAGUACAGAGAAACAGAGUGCUUAAAAAGCACUGUCUGGAUAUCUUCAGAGGGAAAAAGGAGAAAGUUAAUUGAAUUGGUGACACUUCGGGUCUCUCACAGAGGAAGAGACCACCAAACCAACAGAAGCCACCAGGACAGCACACAGCCAUUCCAAAAUUCCAGACCAGGAUCAUUCCAGAAAAGCCUUACAUCUCAGUCCAGUAUAUGGAUGGUUUUGUAAGAUGACCUAUGAUUUUUCUGUUCCUCCUUCCUGCCCCUAACUUCAGAGAAACAGACCUAGAAAGAGGGAAGGAAGGAGUGAAAAAGCGUGCCAUACUUUACCUUCUCCCCUUCUGUUUUAAACUAGACAAAUCUAUAUUUUAAUUAUUAUAAGUAACCAGAAAGUUAUAUGGUCUGGCCAGGAUGGCAUUAAAGAAAAUGAGAGAGAAAAGUUUAAGAUAGCAUGGUUGGAGACAAUAAGUAGAAGAAACCAAGUAGUUCAAGUUUUAUAACGCUCUGUCUUAUAAACACUGUUGAACCAAUAAUAAUGCUAUUACUGAAAUGCUGCACACAAUUGAAGACUACUUGUUAGACCAAGACCUUAAAAACUUCUUUACUGAUUAUUCCCAAUGUGUGGCCCUGGUAAUCAUUGAAGAAUCAUUGUAUUGACUAUUAAACAUCUAGGGAUCACCUGUUUAAAUCAAGUUAACAAAACACUUAUUUAACAAAUAUAUAUUGAUUGCCUAUUAUGAAGUAGAUGCUAUAGUAGGUGCUGGCAGUAUAAACAUGAAGAGAGACAUUGUGUGUGCAUAUUAAUAUACAGUGAAUUAAACUUCAGCCAGAGAAGUACUUUACUAGAAGGUUGAUAGAAGUGUGGUGGUAGCUCGCAGGAGGAAGCAGUUAGCCUCCUUGGAAAUGAGUAAUCUUCACAGAAAGUAUGACAUUUGACCUGCUUCUUGGAGGAGAUGCAUAUUAAACCUAUUAAAUCCAUGUCAGCCUUUAACACCUUUGCUCAGAUUAGUUUCUCGAGCUGUUUUCCCACCUGGUGAGCAGAUAAGAGCAGGACAGGAAAGUUCUGAUGAAAGGAAGAAGUGCCAGAGAGAGAAGGCCUUGCAAGGAAAGAAGCCUGACAGGCAGGAGCCCCUGAGUAUCCUAAGGAGAAGUACCAGCGAUUUAGGGAAGAAAAUUGCUGCCAGAAGUGCAGGAAAUACAAAUUCUGACCUAGAUCAUUUUACUUAUGUCUUCCCUGGUUCUAUGAAUAUAUCUUGGGGGUCCUUUUAUAAUCACAUUUCAUUAACCAGGCAAGAUUAAUCAGUGACCAGAUAAGACAGUCACUGACUCUUAAGACUUUGCAAUUUGAAACAAUGUGUACAAAUGUAUAGAGAGACAUGUAGACCAGCGGGUUUCCAACCUUUUCGGCACCAGGGACUCAUUUUUGGAAGACAAUUUUUCCAUGGGAUGGGUUGGGGGAGCAGGAGUUGGAUGUCAAGGGUGUUGGAUAUGUGGGGGGAUUGGUUUCGGGAUGAAACUGUUCCACCUCAGAUCAUCAGGCAUUAAUUAGAUUCUCAUAAGUAGUGUGCAACCUAGAUCCCUCGCAUGAGCAGUUUGCAAUAGGGUUCACACUCCUUUGAGAAUCAAAUGUGCGGCUGAUCUCAUGGGAGAUGGAGCUCAGGCAGGUGGUAAUGCUCACUCACCGCCACUCACUUCGUGCUGUGUGGCGUGGUUCCUAACAGGCCACAGACCGGUACCUGUCUGCAGCUGGGGGUUUGGGAACCCCUGAUUGUAUACCAGUAAAACAAGGACUGAUAGAGCUGCUAAUGCCAGUCUCAAAUGAGUGAAUGAGCAAAUACAGAAGUACAGUUUAAGAAAUACAGUUUAAGCAAAUACAGAAGCUCUCUUCAUCCUUAUAGCUCUCUGACGUUUUGAUGAUUCUACUUUGUAUUUUUAAGUUCCAAUUUUAAAGAGGUGUGUAAUUAAUUGAGUGUUAGUUGUGUGAUUUGGAGCAAGACUCUGAGAGAUCUCUUUUUAAAAAAAUAAUCCACAAGCUAGAAGAUUGGACUAAAUUACCACUAUGAUUCUUUUCAAAGCUAUCUUAAUUUACUACUAUUUGAAGUUACUUCAGCCAGUGCUAAUGAUACCAUAGUUGCAGAUUUGAACCACUGAGAUGCAAUUCACUUAUUUAAAAACUACUUGAUAAGGGUUUGUUGGGAGGAUUGCUAGAUAAAAUAUGGGACACUUAGUUAAAUUUGAAUUUUACAUAAAGAAUGAAGAUUUUUUAAUGUAAGUAUGUUCCAUAUAAUAUUUGAAUAUGUAAAAAUAUCCAAAUAUACUUAAAAAUUAUUUGUUAUCCAUUUGAAAUUAAAAUUUAACUAUGUGUUCUUUCAAAAUCUAGCAUUCUUACAUCUAUGUUAGCUUCAAUAUAGAAACUAGGCUCUGUGGAAGACAAAAUGGUGAAUCAGUCAUAGAUCCUUCACUCAGUCUAGAGGGGCAAAUGAGAGUCAAAUAUUAAUAAUGAUAUUACAAAGUAAAAAGUGAUGAGUUCAUGAGAAAUAUACUAAGAGAGUGCUAUAAAGGUUUGCAGGAGGGAGAAAUUACUUCCAGCCACAAAAGCAAGAGAAGAACUUGAGCUGGCCUGAGAAAGAUGGCAGGAUCAAGGCUUCUGAAUUUGGUGCCAGGAAGGGGUAAGGUCAUUUCCAGUAGAGUGAAUGGCUUGAGUAAAAGCAUGGAGAUGGGAAAGCACAGAGGAAGAGAGGACAGCUAGUCAUUUGGUUUGACUGUGGUUUGAUUGGGUAAAGGGAAAUUAAAGCAGAAAAUAUUAGAAAGGGAAGGCAGGACCAUACCAAGGGAGCCAGAGGUAGGAGGGAAGAAGGCUAGAAAUCUGAAUAAGCAAAAGAAUUUGAUUUGAUGCUUGAAGGUUUCUGAUCCAGGGUGACAAUGCAUACCAGUAGCAACAAGGGAGAGUGUAAAGAAUCAUCCCAAACAAAUGACUUCCAAGAAAAACUUGGGCUAUUAGUGUUGUUUUUAACACAUAGCUUAAGAAACAUAUUAGGUGAAAAGGAAAUACAGGUAAGUGGGAAAAUCACAAGCUUAGGUAUGAAAAGAUUCUGGGUUCAAAUCCACAUUCUCCUUCUGUAUGAUCUUCAGUUAUUUCCUAUCUGAAACUCAGUUUCCUUGCAUAUACAAAAGACUACAAAUGCUCUCAUUAUGCUUGGAAGUUAUAAGUACCACUGUAUACCUGGCAUAUAUUGGGAGCUCACUAAAGACUAAUUGCUACAUGAGUUAUUGUUUACUUAUUACUUAUUCUUCUCUAGUCUUCAGAGUAUCUUAUUUUAUUGUAGCAGGUGAAGAUGUUCCCAAGAGAUUCAAAAAAAUGUUUUUCAAAAUAUUUUUUUUAUGAAAAAAAUCUUUUUCUUAAAAUAAAAAACAGCAUAUCUAUCUGAACU
Long non-coding RNA from Gorilla gorilla gorilla (western lowland gorilla), 3567 nucleotides. RefSeq lists it as uncharacterized. The record is from RefSeq and is a predicted model, not a curated record. The transcript has 3 exons. Lineage: Eukaryota; Metazoa; Chordata; Mammalia; Primates; Hominidae.